Molecule: ribosomal RNA, 755 nt
Filed under: uncultured bacterium
Lineage: Bacteria
Description: bacterial SSU rRNA
Rfam family: Bacterial small subunit ribosomal RNA
Source: RNAcentral
AGAGUUUGAUCCUGGCUCAGAACGAACGCUGGCGGCAGGCCUAACACAUGCAAGUCGAACGCCGUAGCAAUACGGAGUGGCAGACGGGUGAGUAACGCGUGGGAACAUACCCCUCGGUUCGGAAUAACUCAGGGAAACUUGAGCUAAUACCGGAUACGUCCGAGGUUUUAAUCGACCUUGGAAAAAGAUUUAUCGCCGGAGGAUUGGCCCGCGUCUGAUUAGCUUGUUGGUGAGGUAACGGCUCACCAAGGCGACGAUCAGUAGCUGGUCUGAGAGGAUGAUCAGCCACAUUGGGACUGAGACACGGCCCAAACUCCUACGGGAGGCAGCAGUGGGGAAUAUUGGACAAUGGGCGAAAGCCUGAUCCAGCCAUGCCGCGUGAGUGAUGAAGGCCUUAGGGUUGUAAAGCUCUUUUGCCCGGGAAGAUAAUGACGGUACCGGGAGAAUAAGCCCCGGCUAACUUCGUGCCAGCAGCCGCGGUAAUACGAAGGGGGCUAGCGUUGUUCGGAAUUACUGGGCGUAAAGCGCACGUAGGCGGAUCCUUAAGUCAGGGGUGAAAUCCCGAGGCUCAACCUCGGAACUGCCUUUGAUACUGGGGAUAUCGAGUCCGGGAGAGGUGAGUGGAACUGCGAGUGUAGAGGUGAAAUUCGUAGAUAUUCGCAAGAACACCGUGGCGAAGGCGGCUCACUGGCCCGGUACUGACGCUGAGGUGCGAAAGCGUGGGGAGCAAACAGGAUUAGAUACCCCCGUAGUCC